RNAcentral lists this ribosomal RNA (496 nucleotides) under uncultured bacterium. RNAcentral's name for it is "partial 16S ribosomal RNA". It matches the Rfam family "Bacterial small subunit ribosomal RNA", at positions 29 to 507 of the family's 1533-position model. The record is from RNAcentral.
ACGAACGCUGGCGGCGUGCCUAAUACAUGCAAGUAGAACGCUGAAGAGAGGAGCUUGCUCUUCUUGGAUGAGUUGCGAACGGGUGAGUAACGCGUAGGUAACCUGCCUUGUAGCGGGGAAUAACUAUUGGAAACGAUAGCUAAUACCGCAUAACAAUGGAUGACACAUGUCAUUUAUUUGAAAGGGGCAAUUGCUCCACUACAAGAUGGACCUGCGUUGUAUUAGCUAGUAGGUGAGGUAAUGGCUCACCUAGGCGACGAUACAUAGCCGACCUGAGAGGGUGAUCGGCCACACUGGGACUGAGACACGGCCCAGACUCCUACGGGAGGCAGCAGUAGGGAAUCUUCGGCAAUGGGGGCAACCCUGACCGAGCAACGCCGCGUGAGUGAAGAAGGUUUUCGGAUCGUAAAGCUCUGUUGUAAGUCAAGAACGGGUGUGAGAGUGGAAAGUUCACACUGUGACGGUAGCUUACCAGAAAGGGACGGCUAACUACGUG